Non-coding RNA from Anolis sagrei ordinatus, 1675 nucleotides. The record is from RefSeq and is a predicted model, not a curated record. NCBI's taxonomy places the organism in Eukaryota, Metazoa, Chordata, Lepidosauria, Squamata, Anolidae.
CGACGCCACCACCACCGCCGCCGCAUUCCUUCCGUCCGCCAUUUUAGGUUGGGAUCAGCGAGGCGGCGCCAUUAAAGCGCAAGAGAGAGAGAAAGAGAGAAAGAGAGAGAAGGCGUGAGAGAAAGAAAGGAAGAGAAAGAGAGGAGAGCGAGGCUGCAGUCGACUGCUUCAGUUUGAGCCGGCUUUUCUCCCCGUUUUCUCGAGUCCCGCUUUCUCCUCAACUCCCAACAUGUCGGACCAAGACUUCAUGGGCGACGCAGGCGCUGCCGAGGCCUUUGACGAGGAGGCCGAGCAGCUGGAGGGAGUCGCGGUCGGAGGGAACGACGAAGAGGACGGCGCGGAAGGCGGCGGCGGCGGAGGGGGCGGCGGCGAAUCCGAAGGCGCCAAAAUCGACGCCAGCAAGAAUGAGGAGGAUGAAGGGUACGUUGGGAAAAUGUUCAUUGGAGGCCUUAGCUGGGACACUACGAAGAAAGAUCUGAAGGACUAUUUCACUAAAUUUGGUGAAGUUGUGGAUUGCACCCUGAAGUUGGACCCUAUUACAGGACGAUCAAGAGGCUUUGGCUUUAUAUUGUUCAAGGAGGCUGAGAGUGUUGACAAGGUCAUGGAUCAGAAAGAACAUAAAUUGAAUGGCAAAGUGAUUGAUCCUAAAAGAGCAAAAGCAAUGAAAACAAAAGAGCCAGUUAAAAAGAUUUUUGUUGGGGGCUUGUCUCCAGAUACACCUGAAGAGAAAAUAAGGGAAUACUUUGGAGGAUUUGGUGAGGUGGAAUCGAUAGAGCUUCCCAUGGACAACAAAACCAACAAGCGCCGAGGAUUUUGCUUCAUUACUUUCAAAGAUGAAGAGCCAGUGAAGAAAAUUAUGGAGAAAAAAUACCACAAUGUUGGUCUCAGCAAAUGUGAAAUAAAAGUAGCCAUGUCAAAAGAACAAUAUCAACAGCAACAGCAGUGGGGAGUCCGAGGGGGAUUUCCAGGAAGAGCCCGUGGCCGUGGUGGAGGACCCAAUCAAAGCUGGAACCCAGGAUACAGUAAUUACUGGAAUCAGGGCUAUGGCAACUAUGGAUACAACAGUGGAGGCUAUGGAGGUUAUGGAGGCUAUGACUACACAGGCUACAACAACUACUACGGCUAUGGUGAUUAUAGCAAUCAGCAGGGUGGUUACGGGAAGGUGUCUCGGAGAGGAGGUCAUCAAAAUAGCUACAAGCCGUACUAAAUUAUUCCAUUUGCAGCCUAUCCCAAACAGCGGGAACUUCCUUGCAGGCCCUGUGUCGCGCUGACUUCCCGAUUCUCACAGGCCCGCUCAAUGCGGACAGGGUACGAGAUGCUCACGCUCUCGAAUGCUGCCGUUUGGUGGACAAGCAGUAUUGUCAUUUGAAGAUUCAUUUUUGAGGUGGCUCAUGCUGCCUGCUAAUAGCAGUUCAAACUAAUUUUUGUAUCAAGUUCCUGAAUUGGAAGUAAGAUGUUGGUCCCCAGAAGUUUGAUUGCGUUGUCAUUACAGAAUUGCUUUCACCGUCUUUUAUUUUUUUAAUUGCUAUGCUUAAGAAUCAAUUUGAUUUAUGUCCCACACCCAUUUUGUACCCCAGUAUUGUAGAGCAAGUCUUGUGUUUAAAGCCCAGUGUGACAGUGUCAUGAUGUAGUAGUGUCUUACUGGUUUUUUAAUAAAAACUUUUGUAUAAAUGUG